Molecule: non-coding RNA, 29 nt
Filed under: Mus musculus (house mouse)
Lineage: Eukaryota; Metazoa; Chordata; Mammalia; Rodentia; Muridae
Source: RNAcentral
UAGAAAGUACUCUUGGUGUGCUUCGGGCU